RNAcentral lists this unclassified non-coding RNA (445 nucleotides) under Hevea brasiliensis (rubber tree). Lineage: Eukaryota; Viridiplantae; Streptophyta; Magnoliopsida; Malpighiales; Euphorbiaceae. The record is from RNAcentral.
AUUAUGAUGAAGACUGUCAAAGCCAGAAAACAGAGGAAGAAUCUAGGAGUAAAAUUGAAGCAGAGCUUGAAGCUGAAUUGGAGAGGUUAGAAUUAACUAUGAACUCGUCUAAAUUGGAGGGGAAACUAGCAGAGCUACACGAGCUUGAUCCAGAUUUUGUGACAGAUCUAGCUAAGGGGGAGUUAAGAACUGAACUCUUUAAUAGACAAGCCGGAGGUCAACCUUAUGCAGAUCAGGAUGGUAGCGGGACCUCAACUCCUCAUCCUGCUAAUUAUGCCGUCUCACCUAGAGAGCUGACUUUGCGGCUGCACGAAGUCCUCCAAACACAAUUAGAAGACCGGGUCAAGGAGCUUGAGAUGGCACUUCAGAACAGUGAAAGGAAAGUUCGUUAUAUGGAAGCAGAACUUGUAAGUUCAUGGAGGGACUCGUCAAAUAGUGAAGGGGG